CGCGUAGGCGGUUUUUUAAGUCAGAUGUGUAAUCCCCGAGCUUAACUUGGGAACUGCAUCUGAGACUGGAAGGCUAGAGUACUGGAGAGGGUGGUGGAAUUCCUCGUGUAGCGGUGAAAUGCGUAGAGAUGAGGAGGAACACCAGUGGCGAAGGCGGCCACCUGGACAGCAACUGACGCUGAGGCGCGAAAGUGUGGGUAGCAAACAGGAUUAGAUACCCUGGUAGUCCACGCUGUAAACGAUGAACACUUGGUGUGGAGGGAGUUGACCCCUUCCGUGCCGGAGCUAACGCGUUAAGUGUUCCGCCUGGGGAGUACGGUCGCAAGGCUGAA
Molecule: ribosomal RNA, 332 nt
Filed under: uncultured bacterium
Lineage: Bacteria
Description: bacterial SSU rRNA
Rfam family: Bacterial small subunit ribosomal RNA
Source: RNAcentral